GAGUUUGAUCGUGGCUCAGGAUGAACGCUGGCGGCAUGCCUAACACAUGCAAGUCGAACGGGGUUUAUAUGACAGAACUCUCCGGAGGGAAGAUAUAUAAACCUAGUGGCGGACGGGUGAGUAACGCGUGGCAACCUGCCCUGUACCGGGGGACAACAGCCAGAAAUGGCUGCUAAUACCGCAUAAGCCUGCUGUGCCGCAUGGCACAGCAGGGAAAACUACGGUGGUACAGGAUGGGCCCCGCGUCUGAUUAGUUAGUUGGCAGGGUAACGGCCUACCAAGACAACGAUCAGUAGCCGGCUUGAGAGAGUGGACGGCCACAUUGGGACUGAGACACGGCCCAGACUCCUGCGGGAGGCAGCAGUGGGGAAUAUUGCACAAUGGGGGAACCCUGAUGCAGCAAUGCCGCGUGGGUGAAGAAGCACUCCGGUGCGUAAAGCCCUGUCAGCAGGGAAGAAAAUGACAGUACCUGGACAAGAAGCCCCGGCUAACUACGUGCCAGCAG
Molecule: ribosomal RNA, 505 nt
Filed under: uncultured microorganism
Description: bacterial SSU rRNA
Rfam family: Bacterial small subunit ribosomal RNA
Source: RNAcentral